RNAcentral lists this ribosomal RNA (592 nucleotides) under uncultured crenarchaeote. Its description in RNAcentral is "bacterial SSU rRNA". It matches the Rfam family "Archaeal small subunit ribosomal RNA", at positions 851 to 1441 of the family's 1478-position model. Lineage: Archaea; Thermoproteati; Thermoproteota. The record is from RNAcentral.
GAAACUUAAAGGAAUUGGCGGGGGAGCACCACAAGGCGUGAAGCUUGCGGUUCAAUUGGAGUCAACGCCGGGAACCUUACCGGGGGCGACAGCAGUAUGAAGGCCAGAUUGAAGGUCUUGCUAGACAAGCUGAGAGGAGGUGCAUGGCCGUCGCCAGUUCGUGCCGUGAGGUGUCCUGUUAAGUCAGGGCAACGAUCGAGACCCACACCUUUAGUUGCUACCGAGGAAAUUUUCCGAGGGGCACUCUAAAGGGACUGCCGUCGACAAGACGGAGGAAGGAGUGGGCUACGGCAGGUCAGUAUGCCCCGAAUCCCCCGGGCUACACGCGAGCUGCAAUGGCAAAGACAAUGGGUUCCAACCCUGAGAAGGGACGGUAAUCUCGAAACUCUGCCUCAGUUUGGAUUGAAGGCUGGAACCCGCUUUCAUGAAAAUGGAAUGCCUAGUAAUCGCGCGUCAUCAACGCGCGGUGAAUACGUCCCCGCCUCUUGCACACACCGCCCGUCGCUCCAUCCGAGUGGGUUUGGUUGAGGCGGGGUUCUUAUUGGCUGCGUCGAAUCUUGGGUUCCCGCAAGGAGGGAAAAAGUCCUAACAA